Molecule: long non-coding RNA, 454 nt
Organism: Pseudopipra pipra
Lineage: Eukaryota; Metazoa; Chordata; Aves; Passeriformes; Pipridae
Exons: 3
Source: RefSeq, a predicted model, not a curated record
UUCUCUUCUGUGAAGCUUCCUGGGCCAUCCGUGCCAUUUGUAGCAUCCUGCUGGCAGAGCUCCACUACUCUAACAUCUUUUGACAGAAGAACCAUAGUUCUGUGAAGUAUUUUGAAGCCAGUUCCAGCCAGCUUGAUUUGAUGCCUCCGGUUCUCUUAACAAACAGUAAAGCCCAAUUUGCCUCCCGUGUGCCACUUAUAUUUUUAAAGACGUCUGUCAUAGUUUCCAUCUCUUGUCCAGGGAAGGAUUUUUCUUUUGUUAUAUUUAUCUGGAAAGAUAUUUCAUCCAAAGAAGAUUAUUCAACUAGCAGGUUGUUUUGGAGAGAAGAUAUAAAAUUUGUAGAAGAACUAUAUUUUUUGUUUAAAGUUAUGCUUCAAGUAGCACUGAUAGUAGUACUGAUCUUCUGGUCUGGUUAACAUUAUAAUGAACAACUACCUACAUAAAAUAAAAGAUG